GCACCAAUGUGUCGGAUGAAACACGUUCCCUUAUGCACAUUCCAUGAUCGAACGUUCUUAACACACUUCUUACCUGCAAAAAAAAAGAAGUUAUCGACGAUAUAACGUUACUACCACUAUGUCGCAGUUUUUUACUAGGUGUCUUCAGGACUUGCCUUAAAUUAGUAUUAAUGAUGUACAUCAAAUUGUUAAAUCAGCCUCCGAGACUCCAGCUAACAAGAAUGAAAAGGGGUUCAAUAUGUAUACCUUUAUUGGAAGCUAACGUUACAUAGACAACUAUGAAGUAUCUAACAAAGAUACAUUGACCGGAGAGAUCACCACGAGGGCUGCCUGUCACAGGUCCAUGAGGAAGGGUGAAAAGUCGCACGGCAUGAGAGUAGGGAAAGGUUUUAGAUAGCUAGGGACCUUUAAACAUCUCCUGUGAGACACUGUCAUCAUGGUCAAAAUGUGUUGGAGACAGUGUCAACGUUUAAUCUUAUCAAUAGAUAGAUAUUAAUGAUGGGUCCCAAUCCCAAUUUAGAAUUGCCCACUUAACAGGUUAUUUGGUAAAGAUCUGUUGCUGCAGUGUUUGGUAAUUGUGGUACUGAGACAAUGUAUUCCUGUGUAGUUAAAUGAGUCCCUAGUUAAGAAGACAAGACACUACUAUGUUUAUUAUUAUUCAUGGACCGCAUCAUUCUUGUUUCUCACUUCAGUCUUUCAUCACACUUAUCUUCACAGAUGGUGUUAAAGCACUCCGUACCAGUGAUAGUGGUCCAGAGCCACUGCUCCUGUGUUGCAGGAAGUUUAUUUUUUUAUUUUUUUAUUUCACCUUUAAUUAACCAGGUAGGCUAGUUGAGAACAAGUUCUCAUUUGCAACUGCGACCUGGCCAAGAUAAAGCUUAGCAGUGUGAACAGACAACACAGAGUUACACAUGGAGUAAACAAUUAACAAGUCAAUAACACAGUACAAAAAAGGCGAGUCCAUAUACAUUGUGUGCAAAAGGCAUGAGGAGGUAGGCAAAUAAUUACAAUUUUGCAGAUUAGCACUGGAGUGAAAUGAUCAGAUGGUAAUGUACAGGUAAAGAUACUGGUGAGAUACUGGAAGUGCCAUGUGCAAUCAUCUGGUGCCCCUUCUUUACCAGACUCAACUAAACAUUCCUGCUGCACCACCAGUUCACAGCUGCACAGACACAGAAUAGUGUUGGCACAAGCCAAGAACACUUGUGAGUCUAUCAAUAUCCAUAAAAAAAUGCACCUGAAAACUAUUCAGCCUAUGUAACAGUAAAUCCGUGUUAAUUAGGGUGUGAAGACAGUUCCGGUUGAUGGGAUAGAGUUCCGUAAACCUACAAACUCGUGUGCUGAUGGAAUAAGAUAAGUUGGAGGAUCCUAGAAUGGAAACAUUUUAGAAAACAUUUUCCUGUGAUUGUUUUUGUAUCCAGAUGAUGAGCCUAAACAGUGGCGUCUUUACGAUGUAAUGACACAUUUUGGGACAAAGACUGGGGGGAAAAAUAUAAUCUAUAAGUCUGUAUUUUAAUUCAUUUUAUUUGAACUUUUGGGCUUGUGCUGUUUCUGGAAAAGUUACAUGAGUCUUUGUCAUAGUAAUCUCGCCAACCUGGUGUUAAGGUUUUGAAAUGUUUUGCAGAAGUUCUCUCUACAUAGCACUCAAUGGAUACAUGCCUGACAUGGACCUUCGCGUCUCAGAAACAUAUGCCAACUUUUCUCUACUUCCCCUCUUGUGACAACAAUGGAAAUGUCAUCUGCCCCUGGUUGAAUCCACCUUUGGGCCAGUACAAGCUGGUAGUGUGCUGUCCUAUCAGCUUCCACAGCCAAAGACCAUGGAAUUGUGAAGAUUACCGAUGCCCCUUCUCCACCAAUACUUCCAUUAGAUGGCUUCACGCUUCAGUCUUCCCAGUGUGCUUAUGUCCUUAGCCAUCGGGAGCAGUUCCACGUCAAGGCAUUAGAGACAACCUACGAGAUGUCACAGAGUCGAGGUUGCAGCCCGGAAUGGCAUCAGCUCAGGAAAAUUAGAAUAACAUCCUCUCGUUUUCGAGAGGUUUGCCAUGUCCGGGGAGAGACCUCGGCUGACCACCUAGCUGAGCGAAUGUUCAAGGGAUCUGGUAUGCAGACCAUGGAGAUGAAGAGGGGGCUAGCCAUGGAGCCAGUGGCUGUACAGGGAUCUGGUAUACAGACCAUGGAGAUGAAGAGGGGGCUAGCCAUGGAGCCAGUGGCUGUACAGGAGUACUGCACACUGAAGAAUGUUAACUUCUUUCCGUGUGGCUUCAUAGUGCACCCAGGUGCUCCGUGGUUAGGAUCCUCUCCAGAUGGCAUAUUUGAUCCCAGUGUGAGACCACACUUUGGACUCUUAGAGGUCAAGUGCCCAAAUGUACCAAGUUAUGUUGAGUGCCCUUACCUGAAGAUACAGAAUGGAGAGCUGAAGUUGAAGAGAUCUCAUGCUUACUACUAGGUGCAAGAUCAAAUCCUUCUCACAGGUUGUAGCUGGUGUGACUGUCAUCUGUGGACAGGCGGACAACCUAGUUGAAAGGAUAUAUAAAGAUCUACAGGUUUCAAAAACUAUAAGAGAGAAGGUUGACCACUUAUUUUUAUCACUACUUGCAGAAGUGUCUCUCGCAUCUGAAUGGAUCCCAUGCAUGGGUGCCAAGUUUAGUGAUUUCACAAAAAAUAAGUAUUGAUGCUCUUGUGAAGAAAACUAUAGUAGAAUAGAUUUGUUUAAAAAAUUGUAUUUCAGCAAAUGUUCAACAGUUCAGUUAAUCAAUUACACAUCUCCAACAUUGUAUUAAAUCUUGCAUUCUGGCUAU
Molecule: long non-coding RNA, 2795 nt
Organism: Oncorhynchus masou masou (cherry salmon)
Lineage: Eukaryota; Metazoa; Chordata; Actinopteri; Salmoniformes; Salmonidae
Exons: 2
Source: RefSeq, a predicted model, not a curated record